UCACUGGCAGAUAUUUCAAAUGAUUAAAAGACAACUUGGCUACAUAGUAAUUAUUAUUGUUUUAAAAUGAUUGCACUCACAUCUCAAAGUACAAAUAAUUAUGUGGCCACCUAUAUUCAUAGCCGAUGGUCACUGGCAGAUAUUUUAAAGAGAGAAGUGCAAGGUUACGUCAUUGAAUGCAAUGAACUCUAUGAUAUCAUCCAUCAAAUUAAUUUACACAGCCACACAGGGAAAGAUCACAUCAAAAA
This 248-nucleotide long non-coding RNA is filed under the name Hordeum vulgare. RNAcentral's name for it is "long non-coding RNA (HVUL_LNC020665)". The record is from RNAcentral. Lineage: Eukaryota; Viridiplantae; Streptophyta; Magnoliopsida; Poales; Poaceae.